RNAcentral lists this unclassified non-coding RNA (520 nucleotides) under uncultured Glomus. Its description in RNAcentral is "SSU rRNA". It matches the Rfam family "Eukaryotic small subunit ribosomal RNA", at positions 569 to 1090 of the family's 1831-position model. Lineage: Eukaryota; Fungi; Glomeromycota; Glomeromycetes; Glomerales; Glomeraceae. The record is from RNAcentral. RNAcentral also lists the same sequence under 1 other name.
AGCAGCCGUGGUAAUUCCAGCUCCAAUAGCGUAUAUUAAAGUUGUUGCAGUUAAAAAGCUCGUAGUUGAAUUUCGGGAUCAAUUUGCUGGUCGUGCCUCUGGUACGUACUGGUAUUAUUGGUUUCUCCCUUCUGACGAACCAUGAUGUCAUUAAUUUGAUGUCGUGGAGAAUCAGGACUGUUACUUUGAAAAAAUUAGAGUGUUUAAAGCAGGCAUUAGCUUGAAUACAUUAGCAUGGAAUAAUGAAAUAGGACGUUUGAUCCUAUUUUGUUGGUUUCUAGGAUUGACGUAAUGAUUAAUAGGGAUAGUUGGGGGCAUUAGUAUUCAAUUGUCAGAGGUGAAAUUCUUGGAUUUAUUGAAGACUAACUACUGCGAAAGCAUUUGCCAAGGAUGUUUUCAUUAAUCAAGAACGAAAGUUAGGGGAUCGAAGACGAUCAGAUACCGUCGUAGUCUUAACCAUAAACUAUGCCGACUAGGGAUCGGAUGAUGUUAAUUUUUUAAUGACUCAUUCGGCGCCUUA